UGACCCUAGUUCAGGCCAAGGU
This 22-nucleotide ribosomal RNA is filed under the name Mychonastes racemosus. RNAcentral describes it as "partial 28S ribosomal RNA". The record is from RNAcentral. Lineage: Eukaryota; Viridiplantae; Chlorophyta; Chlorophyceae; Sphaeropleales; Mychonastaceae.